This 2801-nucleotide unclassified non-coding RNA is filed under the name Monomorium pharaonis (pharaoh ant). Its description in RNAcentral is "palmitoyltransferase ZDHHC2, transcript variant X1". The record is from RNAcentral. Lineage: Eukaryota; Metazoa; Arthropoda; Insecta; Hymenoptera; Formicidae.
GACAGCGACUGACAGCGACACGUCGGGAUGAGAGGGUGUGCGUUGCGUGCGGUGUGCAAAGCGGUAGCUUUGCCAAAAUAAGAUUACGAGUGUACGAGACGAGGGUCCGCGAUUCCGCGCGCGUCCGUCUCGGUUGGAUAUCUUGCUCGCUCGUGACGACGAGGAGGGCGUGAUGCCGCGAUAACGCGGACAGGUUUCACUUGCUGUGCAAUGACGUGUUCCCGCGCUUGGCCGCACGUUCCGCACGGAGUCCGCCUUUAAGGCUAAGGAAGCUGGGAGUGCUGGGACUGCUGGGAGAACAGCCGCUUCUCGACGAGAGUGGUCGGAGCCCCGGGGUUGCAGUACUGCGAUGCCGCUGCGUGCCAGCGGUCCGAGGGUUAACGCGUUGUUCAUCAGGGUCGCGAUCGGUGGUUACGUAUUUCUACCCACGCCGUCGACCCGGUGAACAGAAUGGGCAACCAGAACGGAUCGUGCUGGUGGUGCGUCAAGGCCGUCAAGUGGUUACCAGUAAUCUUCAUCCUGACGAUCGUCGCGUGGUCCUAUUACGCCUACGUCGUGCAGUUGUGCUACUAUACAAUAGACAAUUAUGUUCAAAAAGCUUUCUAUCUGCUUUUCUUCCACAUCCUCAUUCUGAUGUUUUUAUGGGCAUAUUGGCAAACAGUGUACACAAAUUUAAUACCAGUGCCGGAUAAGUUUAAAAUACCUGAUGUUGAAAUGGAGAAAUUACAACAGGCUGAAACAGAAGAAACGCAAAGACAAAUUUUAGAAAGAUUUGCACAAGAUCUCCAGGUUACUAAUCGCACCAUAAAAGGAGCUAUGCGAUUCUGUGAGAAAUGUCAGUUAAUAAAGCCUGAUAGAGCACAUCACUGUAGCGUAUGUGGCACCUGCGUUUUAAAAAUGGAUCAUCAUUGUCCAUGGGUGAACAAUUGUGUAGGCUUCCACAAUUACAAAUUUUUCAUGCUAUUUCUGGCAUAUGGACUUCUCUAUUGUAUGUUUAUUACCGCCACAUCUUUACAAUAUUUUAUACAAUUUUGGAAAGGUGAAUUAGACGGAAUGGGUAGAUUUCACCUGCUAUUCCUUUUUUUUGUUGCGUUGAUGUUUGCAAUCAGUCUUACCUCCCUCUUCUUCUAUCAUUGUUAUCUCGUUGUGCAUAAUAGGUCAACACUAGAAGCCUUUAGAGCACCUAUGUUUCGGACAGGAAAGGACAAAGAUGGAUUUAGUCUGGGAAAAUACAAUAAUUUUCAGGAAGUAUUUGGUGACAAUCCGCGACUCUGGUUUCUACCUAUAUUUAGUAGUAUACCAUCUAUCAUAACUUUACCAUUAAAAAAACAACUAUGUGGUUUGGCAUACUUAAAUGAAAUUUGAAAUAUGGUAACAUAAGUACUGCAGGGCCUUGAAUAUAAAGUUCUGGGAAAUGGUGUCGUCUACCCAGUAAGAUCGCAACACCAAGGCACACCCAAUACUUAUGACUCCAUGGGCAGUACUCAGAACAGCUUUGGAGACGGGGUAAAUUUUCCCGAGCGGCUGUGCAGUGAAGAUACUCAUACUUUGUUGGGCCCUGGCACCCAACAAUGGGGUGAUGAAACUGAAUUUGACUCCCCAUCUCCCUACAUAAAUCAGGUCCACCAUUGAUCAAAUGACAUUGGUACAAGAAGCUACAAUUUUGGCUCUUGGCGCUGGGUAAUAUUGUCUGUAGUUUCCUGUUUAAAUAGUACAACUAAUUUCUUACGCUUGCAUGAACAUAUAUAUAAAAUUCUAUUAAAGAUUGGGCGUUAUUCUUUUUUUAUUCUACAUGAUCUGAAUUUCUAUUUAAUCUAUAUAUUUUUAUCUGGGUGUAAUGAAUACAAAUUAAUACCGCUUACAAGAGGAAGGUUUUUAUGAUUGUAUUUAUUUUGACAACAUUUGGGAAAACUCUAUAUAAAGCAUUUGGUUUUGUUUUUCUAUGCUAUGUGAUAGCUUUUGUGUAUGUUGCACUUUAUUUUUGUCAUAAGACAAGAUUUUUAUGUUGCUAUAAAAAUUUUUGGAGUAAUUCUUUUGAUACAAUAUAUUCAAAAUAUUUUACAGCACUGCUGUGAUAGGUCCUUCUGUUGAUGUCGACCAACCCCUGAUGGACAUCACAGAAUCUGUCUGAAUAACACCGACAAAUAUGUAUGCCUUCACACAAUUGCAAUUUUACUUUAUGGUAUUGUGAUUGUAAUUCAGAAUAUUAAUUUACGUUUCGUGUUUCUUUAGGUUUUAAUUCUCAGCGCUUAAGGUUUCAUAGUUAUUAUUACUUGUUGCGAAGAAAAUUUACACUGAAUUGUCGCAGUCAACACAACAAGUAUUUUUAACAUUGCGAUUUGUCCCGCACGAAGAUACUUUGGCCUAUAUUCAGAACGUGCUUAUAAAGAUGUUAGGGUGUUCUUUUUCUAUUUCAAUCUUUAUCGUUUAUUAGACAUAAAAUAAGAAUAAAAUAAAAAAGCACGUUUCUGAAUACUAGCCUUUGAAUUAACUGUAUUAUAUAUAUUGUAAUAUAUACUUGGAUUUAUUGUUAAAAAUAUUGUUAUAAUUACUUGUAAUUUUAACCAUAAUGUUUCACAUAUAAUUAAAUUACCGUGUAGUGUGUUAUGUAUUAUAUUGAUGUUACUAUGAAUUUGUAAUUGAUCGAAUGUAGAUUACAAAUUGUACUAUAAAAUGAUGAAGAGUCAUUGCAGUUCAAUUCAGGGGAUAUUAACAAUAAUCUUCGUCAAAACGUAUAUACAUAUGUGCUGAACAAAAUAGAAAUUAUAAAAAAUUAUGAAUAAAAAUUUGUUCAUUCUUUA